AACGAAUCGCAUGGCCUUGUGCCGGCGAUGGUUCAUUCAAAUUUCUGCCCUAUCAACUUUCGAUGUUAAUGUAUUGGAUUAACAUGGUUUCAACGGGUAACGGGGAAUUAGGGUUCUAUUCCGGAGAGGGAGCCUGAGAAACGGCUACCACAUCCAAGGAAGGCAGCAGGCGCGCAAAUUACCCAAUCCCGACUCGGGGAGGUAGUGACAAUAAAUACUGAUACAGGGCUCUUUUGGGUCUUGUAAUUGGAAUGAGUACAAUUUAAAUCCCUUAACGAGGAACAAUUGGAGGGCAAGUCUGGUGCCAGCAGCCGCGGUAAUUCCAGCUCCAAUAGCGUAUAUUAAAGUUGUUGCAGUUAAAAAGCUCGUAGUUGAACCUUGGGCCUGGCUGGCCGGUCCGCCUCACCGCGUGCACUGGUCCGGCCGGGCCUUUCCUCCUGGGGAGCCGCAUGCCCUUCACUGGGUGUGUCGGGGAUCCAGGACUUUUACUUUGAAAAAAUUAGAGUGUUCAAAGCAGGCAUUUGCUCGGAUACAUUAGCAUGGAAUAAUGAAAUAGGACGUGUGGUCUUAUUUUGUUGGUUUCUAAGACCGCCGUAAUGAUUAAUAGGGAUAGUCGGGGGCAUCAGUAUUCGAUUGUCAGAGGUGAAAUUCUUGGAUUUAUUGAAGACUAACUACUGCGAAAGCAUUUGCCAAGGAUGUUUUCAUUAAUCAGUGAACGAAAGUUAGGGGAUCGAAGACGAUCAGAUACCGUCGUAGUCUUAACCAUAAACUAUGCCGACUAGGGAUCGGGCGAUGUUAUCUUUUUGACUCGCUCGGCACCUUACGAGAAAUCAAAGUC
Molecule: ribosomal RNA, 838 nt
Filed under: Bloxamia discedens
Lineage: Eukaryota; Fungi; Ascomycota; Leotiomycetes; Helotiales; Bloxamiaceae
Description: SSU rRNA
Rfam family: Eukaryotic small subunit ribosomal RNA
Source: RNAcentral